AUGGCGAUUGCAUAAUGAUGAUGAUGUUGGUGUAACUUCCGCUGGAUUGGCAUAUGUGUUAUUAAACAUUUAACCUCCACCACCCAAUUAUAAUGAACGGCCACAGAAAUUAAAGUAUUACAAAAAAUAAGUACUCAAUAAGCACGAGCUAAAGCAAUGGCAAUGACGCCUGCCCGUCUACCCAAUCACCAUCCAUCAUCCAUCCAUCCAACCAGUUCGAACCAGUUCAGUUUCAACGGUUGAAACUUCAAACUUUCCGGACGCGCAACGGGUAGCAGUUGGGGUCUUCGCGGCUGCAUUCCACUGGUUGUUAUACGAAAAUCUUUCGAAGUUCUAAUCUCCCGCGCGUUUUGUCUUGCAAUUUUUGAGCAUAGCGAGAACGUACGCCGUGCUGUCCAGUGAUAAGAGCUGUUGAGCGCAGCAGAGCUCCCAGAGUACUGUGGUGGACAACGUUUCUUUGUUCUCUGGCUUUCAAGUUUAAGGGGUGCUUGGACUAUCUUGCAUCGGUGGAUAUGAAAAUAGUGGUAACCUACCCUACGAAACAGCUGUUUGCACAUAAGCUUAACAGUUCCCUGUGAGAUGCUGUGAAAGUCAGCAGGGAAGUGCGAUGUAGAAGAAACGACUGCCAGAAGCUUGCUAAGGAACCGCACAACCUGUGUGGGCAGCAGACAAAAUAUUCAUCAAACGGUACAAAACUAGUAUUUUUGUGCUUUGUCGUUUUGAGACAUCCUUGGUAUUGUAUGGAGAACAGCGUGACUAUGUCAUUCCGUCUUACUUCACCCAAACAGCUAUCUGGUAGUAGUGCAAGAUUUGAGUUCCUAAAAGGUUUAUUCACUGAAGUCACCUCAGCGCCAUACUAUAGGUCCCGCAAUGUUUAGUCCUUGCAUUUGUUUGCUGCAUUAUGCUUUUUAGGUGACUAUUAACACCAAAAAUAUGGAAAUUGCUCAGACAUUCUACAAAUCACAGAGCAACAAGUUUUAAACACCAGAUAUACGGUGAGUAUAAUAUGGGUAACAGCUUGACUGAAAUCUACAAUAGGGCCGAUGGCAGCAAAUCUGCCUGCUAGCGACAGUGGCGGUCUCCUGCGGAUGACGUCAUGUGAAUAAACUUGUAUACUACUUGUACGUACUUAUAAUAUUUGACGUGGUGAUACAGCCCUUGCUUUGUAUUGUCUUUUAUAAUAUACACAGUGUUUAUUUUUAUCCUGUACAGAAGCUUUGCACCAAAGUUAUGAGAGCAGCACAGAUGUUGUUUUAGCGUAAUGGAGUGAUGGAAGUGCUGCACCAAUCAUGGAGUGCUUAGCAGUCGCCUGCUCGACCAGCCACAGUGAGUCAUUGGAGGCAGUGCUACAGCACCAACAAUCACUCGUUGGAAGAAAGGAAUGAGGUGGCCAUCAACACCCUGCUGCCAGUUCAACACUCCUCAGUCAAAACACAAGACGCCUGCUUGGCGGCAAAGUCAAUCCAGUUUUAGACAAGAGUUUUGUACCGUAGACUUCGUGUGUGGCUUACUGCGAAUAAAUGUUUAUGCUGAGAUCCGUGUUGCUAUCAAUUAUAUCAUAUUUCUGCAUGAAUGCAUGCCAGGACGGUAGCAGGACUAGUCAUGGUCUAAAGUAGGUCUAAAGGUGGCUAAAGUAGGGUACAGGAAAUGUAUAACCCUAGACCUGUCGCCUGAAUGGAGGGAUAAAAUUGGUCUAGCUGUAGACUUCAUGUCUAAUACAUGGUUAAGUGUCUGACCCUGUUCCAGACAUCCAGGUCAAAAGAGUGUCUAAAUCAUGGCUAGGUACAUAGACAUCGGAUGUCUAGGGCUAGGUGGCGUAACGUUAGACGUGUUAUUUGACGUCUAGUGGAGGGAUACUAGACAUUUGGUCUAAUUGCGUAGACAUUCUAUAGACAUUCCUUAUCUCUUUUUUUAGACGUCAUUUAGACGUUUACUAGCCCACCAUGUGCUCCCUGGGUUUCCUUUUCUAUUCUUUUUACUUGACGAAGUACUUUCGCAGGUGCACAUCGAACGGAAGUCUUCGCAAGAGAUGUCGUGGAUGAAUGCAAAAACGACGACAACGACAGUGUGAGGAGCCUAUGAGCCCGCCAGUGGAGCCCGUUCGCUUUUCAACAAUACAGUGACAACAUCAACAGCGUGCACAUCGAACGGAAGUCUUCGCAAGAGAUGUCGUGGAUGAAUGCAUAAACGACGACAACGACAGUGUGACUAGGCUACGAGCCCGACACUGGAGCACGAUCGUAUUUCAACAAUACAGUCACAACAUCAACAGCGUUAGUUACGCAUUUACAUUCAAUAAAUCGUGGACGUCAAAAUAGAAAAUUCCGUUAAAGAUUUUAACAUUAAAGUCGUGAAUUCACUAUUCUUUUCCUUUUCUAUUCUUUUUACUUGACGAAGUACUUUCGCAGGUGCACAUCGAACGGAAGUCUUCGCAAGAGAUGCCGUGGGUAAAUGCAUAAACGACGGCAACGACAGUGUGACUAGGCUACGAGCCCGACACUGGAGCACGAUCGUAUUUCAACAAUACAGUCACAACAUCAACAGCGUUAGUUACGC
Long non-coding RNA from Ornithodoros turicata, 2556 nucleotides. RefSeq lists it as uncharacterized. NCBI's taxonomy places the organism in Eukaryota, Metazoa, Arthropoda, Arachnida, Ixodida, Argasidae. The record is from RefSeq and is a predicted model, not a curated record. The transcript is spliced from 5 exons.